Molecule: ribosomal RNA, 429 nt
Filed under: Bacillota bacterium
Lineage: Bacteria; Bacillati; Bacillota
Description: Firmicutes bacterium partial 16S ribosomal RNA
Rfam family: Bacterial small subunit ribosomal RNA
Source: RNAcentral
UGGGGAAUUUUGGACAAUGGGCGAAAGCCUGAUCCAGCAAUGCCGCGUGUGUGAAGAAGGCCUUCGGGUUGUAAAGCACUUUUGUCCGGAAAGACAACGCCGUGGUUAAUACCCGUGGCGGAUGACGGUACCGGAAGAAUAAGCACCGGCUAACUACGUGCCAGCAGCCGCGGUAAUACGUAGGGUGCAAGCGUUAAUCGGAAUUACUGGGCGUAAAGCGUGCGCAGGCGGUCCGCUAAGACAGAUGUGAAAUCCCCGGGCUUAACCUGGGAGCUGCAUUUGUGACUGGCGGGCUAGAGUAUGGCAGAGGGGGGUAGAAUUCCACGGGUAGCAGUGAAAUGCGUAGAGAUGUGGAGGAAUACCGAUGGCGAAGGCAGCCCCCUGGGCCAAUACUGACGCUCAUGCACGAAAGCGUGGGGAGCAAACAGG